Long non-coding RNA from Triticum dicoccoides, 1002 nucleotides. RefSeq lists it as uncharacterized. The record is from RefSeq and is a predicted model, not a curated record. The transcript is spliced from 3 exons. Lineage: Eukaryota; Viridiplantae; Streptophyta; Magnoliopsida; Poales; Poaceae.
GCCUCCCUCGCCCUAUAAAGUCGCCCACCGAAACCCUAAUCCCCAUCUCACUCAUAGCCCCGGGAUCCCCCAUCGGCCUCCUCCUCUUCUUCUCGAAUUCGAGCUCGAGCAACUCACGGUCACCAUUGCCUCGCUGUCAUCGUCGCGGCCACCGACCUCUCCGUCAUGCGGGAGCAUGUCCGGGAUGUCCGUCGCGGCUGGCUUCGUCUGUUCCGGACCCCAGACCGAGCCAAGGCGCUGCGUCGCCAACGCCAUCAUCGUCUUCUUCAUCCGGCCGCCGCCAUCUCGCCAUCGAUCCGCACCGCUCCGACCACCCUCGGCCUUGCUGUCUACACCUCCGGCAUUACGAUUGAUGAGUUCGUGAUGUACGAAAAGAGAAUGCCUUAGAAAGACCGGUCAUACGAAAGAGCACUUAUUACUAUUGAAAUAUUAUGGUGACGAUGUUUAGCAGUCAUAAAAGGGAGAGAAAACGAAGGUUAAAAAUACUUCAAAGGAAUAGGACUGAAGGCUACCAUAGAACCUACAGGGUCUAGGAACACAGGAAUAAGAGAAAGUAGACUGUUCGGAUCACAGCAGCCUUAAGGGUUUUUAAAUUGCCCACAAGGCAGCUUUGUCUCUAUCUCUCACCCCAUCACGUCACACAUCAGCUCAUUUUAAUUAGCUCUGCAUGCUGACUGCCAUGAUCAGAGCACCUCGUCUCGGUCUUCCGCGAAAAACAUGAGCUCCGGGCAGAUUUUUCAAUUCCUGUGGAAUCGGCAUCGAAAGGACAGGUUUCCUUUGGAUCACUGUAGGUCAUUCCUGCGUUUCGAACACCACAAAGGAAAAUAAACCUUCAUGAACAGUAUUCCUUCAUGAUUCCUGCAAAAAUCCUAUGAACCGAACGGAGCCUGAAUAUGGUCCAGUUAGUGGCGUAUUAUUCCUUGCAUUCAACACGUGUGUAUAACACCUCGACGAUGUGUUAUUCUAUAUUGAAGUUUUAAUGAACCUGAACUCUUCUGAUUA